GGCUUCACGCUCAGGAGAGCUCCUCCUCAUGAUUUCGGGUGCUCUACACAGUCAGAGAAACUUCUCUAGUAACGAACUAUAGAAAUGAUCCCUGAAAGUAUAGUCUU
Molecule: small nuclear RNA, 107 nt
Filed under: Mus musculus (house mouse)
Lineage: Eukaryota; Metazoa; Chordata; Mammalia; Rodentia; Muridae
Description: U3 small nuclear RNA
Source: RNAcentral